CGGAGCCGGUGCCGGAACCGGGAGCAGCAGCAGCAGCAGCGGCCGCGGCUGCGGGGGACGCGGCCCGUGGCUGAGAGGAGCAAAGCCGCUGCCGCGUCCGUGAGGCCUCCGCGGGGCCCGGCCUGAGGCCCGAGGCCCGAGGAGACCUCACCAUGUUCAAGAAACUGAAGCAGAAGAUCAGCGAGGAGCAGCAGCAGGCGGCGGCCCAGGUCCUUUCCACUUCCCCUGCCCCAGCAGGGACCAGGAGCCGGACAUCUUCUCUUACAGAACAACAUGAUGAUGGUACGCCCAACCGAGAGCUUCUAGCUGGGAUUUUAGCAGAGCCUGCUUUUCUCUCUGAGUACACUAUCUUUGCUUUGGAUCUCUCCAAACCACCCAAACCACAGAUUGCCUGUGUGACUGCAUCUAGCCAACCUCCUCCGAAGCUAGCUGACGGCAUUAAUGGAAAUGAAGCAACUCCCCAGUCGGGUGAGACGCAGUCUUUUGCGCAGAAGCUGCAGCUCCGAGUUCCAUCAAUGGAGUCUUUGUUUCGAAGUCCAAUCAAGGAAUCCUUGUUCCGUUCUUCUUCAAAAGAAUCUCUAGUCCGAAGUUCCUCGAGAGAAUCUCUGAAUCGCCUCGAUCUCGACUCUUCCACUGUGUUGGAUCCCCCGUCUGACGUUGAAAGUGAGGCCGAGGAGGCUGUGGGAAGCAUGGACGGUCUUAGCAAAGAGCAACUCUGCCAGCGGGUACGGAGGAUGGAACGCAGCUUAAACAGCUACCGGGGCAAAUAUGCAGAGCUUGUUACUUCCUAUCAGACUGUCCAGAGAGAAAAGAAGAAGCUACAGGGUCUUUUGAGCCAGAGUCAAGAUAAAGCUCUCAGGAGAAUUGGAGAAUUACGAGAGGAGCUCCAGAUGGACCAGCAGGCAAAGAAACAUCUCCAAGAAGAGUUUGAUGCAUCACUAGAGGAGAAGGACCAGUACAUCAGUGUUCUGCAGACUCAGGUUUCACUACUGAAGCAUCGCUUGCAAAGUGGCCAGAUGACUUUGGAUUUAUCUAAACCACCCUUGCAGGGGGAACUCCAACCUGAAACCCUCCCCAAAGAAACUAGUGAAGAGAAUGCACAGAAUGAUUUAGACCAUGGAGUGUCAGCAGAGGGAGAUGGAGAUGCUGCUAAAACUUUAGAAACUCUUCAGCAGAGAGUUAAACGACAAGAGAAUCUCCUUCAGCGGUGCAAGGAAAUCAUUAAGUCGCACAAGGAACGCUCCACCCUGCUAACCAAUGAGAAGGAAGCCCUCCAGGAGCAGCUAGAUGAACGGCUUCAAGAACUGGAGAAGAUGAAGGAACUUCACAUGGCUGAGAAAACGAAAUUGAUUACUCAGCUCCGGGAUGCAAAGAACUUGAUUGAGCAACUUGAACAAGAUAAGGGAAUGGUAAUAGCAGAGACCAAACGUCAAAUGCACGAAACACUGGAAAUGAAAGAAGAGGAGAUUGCUCAGCUGCGUAGUCGAAUAAAGCAGAUGACAACCCAGGGAGAGGAGCUACGGGAACAGAACGAGAAAUGUGAAAAAGCUGCUUUUGAGGAACUUGAAAAAGCUUUGAGCACAGCACAAAAAACUGAAGAAGCCCGGAAAAAGAUGAAAGCAGAAAUGGAUGAACAGAUAAAAGCAAUUGAAAAAACAAGUGAGGAAGAACGUGUAAAUCUGCAGCAAGAGCUGAGCCGGGUAAAACAGGAAGUUGUAGACAUUAUGAAGAAAACGUCUGAAGAGAAAAUUGCUCAUCUACAGAAGAUGCAUGCCGGGGAGCUUGCUAACAAGGAGAAGGAGCUCAAUGAGAAACUUCAGGCUCGAGAAGAAGAAUUCCAGAGGCAAUUGAAAGCAGCUCUGGAAAAUAAUCAAACAGAGUAUCUGAAGACUACUCAAGAAAAAGAGCAGCAAGAAUCUUUAGCUCUGGAAGAAUUAGAAUUGCAGAAAAAAGCUUUACUCUUGGAAAGUGAGAAUAAGCUUCGGGACCUACAGCAAGAAGCAGAGACCUAUAGAACUAGAAUCCUGGAGUUGGAAAGCUCCCUGGUAAAGUGCUCUCAAGAUAGCAAGAAUCAGGUAGAAGAGAUGUCCUUUCAAAUGGCAUCUGAGAGAAACAAGCACAAUAUGGAAAUCACAGUCAUGGUUGAAAACCAUAAAGCAGAAUUAGAAAGUCUGCAGAGACAGCAGGAACGGCUUUGGACAGAGAAACUUGAAGUCCUAAAGCAGCACCACCAGACUGACAUGGAGAAGCUCCGGGAGAAAUGUGAAGAAGAACAAGAGGCAGUGUUGAGAGAGAAAGAGACUGUGUUCCGUAGGCACAUAGAAGAGAUGAAUGAGAAGACCCUCGAAAAGCUUGAUGUGAAGCAGACAGAGUUAGAAGCGUUGUCUGCGGAGCUGUCUGAUGUGUUAAAAGGUCGUCAGAAUCUGGAAAAGGAGCUCUCUGUCUUAAAGAACGAGACAGAUCAAGUAAAGCGGGAGCUCGAGGCGAAGCUGGAUAAACAGAGAAUUCAGCACCAGCAGCAAGUUGACAUUAUGGUUGAAGAGCAAAAACUGUCUGUCCAGAAUAUGGAGAAAGGAAUGAAAGACGAAAUCAAUCAACUUGGACUCCUGCUCAAGGAGAAGGAACGACAUUUGGAAGAGCAGCAAGCCCAGCAGCAGAAAUUAGAGGAAUCCAUUAAAAGAGCCGAAACCGAGCUUAAGCAAGCAUCAGAUAAGAUGGACAUUUUUCAGUCACACCAAAAUAACUCAAAUGAGCAGGUAAAGGCCUAUGAAAGGCAGCUGACUGAAUUGCAACAGAAGUGGAGUGAUAUGGAAGCAGAGAAAGAUCACCUUGAAAAACAGGUAGCAGAAGCUGAUGUGCAAAAGAAUCAUCUCACUGCAGAGUUGGAUUCUUACAAAACCCAGGUGCAAGAGUUGAUGCUGCAACAGGAGAAACACAGCAGAGAAAUGGAUCAAAAACUACUUUCUCUGACUGACCAAUAUGAGUCUCAACUUAAAGAUUUCAGCAUAGAACGAGAACAGAUCAAGCAAAGCUUGGCUGAAAGGGAAAAUGAAAUUUUACACAUGAAAGAACUACAGAACCAGGAAGCGGACCAUUUCAGGCAAAGACUCUCAGCCAAAGAAGAAAGCAUGAAGACUCUGGAAAAGGAAUAUGAAAACAAACUGAAGAAUCAAGAAAUCAAGAUGGAAAAAAUUAAGCAGAAAGCAAAGGAAGUGCAAGAAACUUUCAAGAAGAAACUGUCGGAUCAGGAAGUUAAGCUGAAAAAAGAACUGGAAAACACACACUUAGAGUUCAGCCAGAAGGAGAAACAGUUUAAUGCAAAAAUGUUGGAGAUGGCCCAGGCUAGUUCUGCCGGAAUGGAGGAUGCGAUUUCAGAACUGAAGAAGAACCAGAAGGAGCAAGUGGAAAGUCUCACGGCAGCCCAUCAGCGAGAGCUGAACAGCAUCGUGUUGGAUUGGGAAAGGAAGGUCAAUCAGCAAGCCGAGGAGCUCCAGGAGAAACACGAGAGAGAGCUCCAGGAGAAGGAGCGAGAAGUGGCCGAGCUCAGGCAGGAGGUGCUGGCCAUCAGGGCUGACCAAGAAAUGGCCAGCAAAGAAGCAGCCCUUUUGAAGGAAGAAGGCACGAAGCAGGGUGCGCUUGUCCAUGAGUUACAGGAGCAGCUGAGGCAGAAAUCUGCUCAGAUCGAGAUGCUGACCCAAAACGGAACUGACGCGAAAGCCCGGCUCGAAGCGCUAGAGGCUGACCUGGAUCAGUCUGUGAGAGAGAGAGCCGCUCUUCAUGAACAGAUUAAGGAGUUGAAGAUACUGGAAGAAAAAGAUAAGCAGAAGCUUUUGGAGGUGACUGAGAAGCUGAAAACUACUGAAGAACAACUCCAGGAUUUGAGAUCUUCAUGUGAAGGAUAUGAAAAGAAAGUCGAGGCAGACCACUUGCACUUUCAGAAACUGUCUGAAAAAUUAGUGGCACAGUUGCACACGUACUGCCAGGAAGCCGAGGCCUUACUGCAAACCAAAACCAGUGAACUGAUGGAGAAAAGUAACGGUAAAAUCGACGCCGCGCUUUCUAGGGUUUCUUAUUGCCAGCUUCAGACAGCUAAAGUGAAAGAAGCGCUAUCAAUUCAGACUCAUAAAAUCCCUGACCUAGAAGCAAAGCUGAGGGAGGUGACAGAACAACAAAAUGUUUUAAAUAAUUCUUUACAACAUUCAGUUCUUCAGUUGGAAGAAAAAGAGAAUCAGAUUAAGAGCAUGAGAGCUGACAUCGAAGGCCUGGUCACAGAAAAAGAAGCAUUGCAGAGAGAAGGAGGCCAUCAGCAACAGGCUGCCUCUGAGAAGGAAUCUUGUAUCACUCAGUUGAAGAAGGAGUUGGCUGAAAACAUCAACGUUGUCACCCUCAUGAAAGAGGAGCUUCAGGAAAAGAAAUCAGAAAUCAGCGACCUUCGUGAGCAUGUGAAGGAGCUGGAUGCUCAACUCCAAAGCAGCGUCAGCCUGACAGAAAAGGAGGAGGCCCAACGAGGCCUGCUCAACCAAGUCCAAGAUUUAUCCUUGGCAGUUGACAGCUUGACCAAGGAAAAGGCAUCUGCUCUUGAACAGGCUGAUCACUGGAUGAAUAAAUUCUCUGAGUGGAAGAAGAAAGCACAGUCGAAGUUUACACAGAAUCAGAAUGCUAUUAAAGACUUGCAGAUGCAAUUAGAGCUAAAAACAAAGGAAUCUAGUGAAAAAGAUGAGCAGAUAAAUUCAUUAAAAGAGAACCUUGAUCGGGAAAAAGAAAGUUUCCAAAGUUGGAAGAGUGAAUUCGAAGAAAGGGAGAGUAAAAAGGAGAAACACGAACAUGAUUUGCUAGCAGAGUUAAACAUGCAGAGAGCAAGAAUUGCAGAGUUAGAGGAGUGUGUUACCCAGAAAACAACACAAAAUAGGAGCUUAGCAGAAGAACUUACAAGACGCUGUGAAAAUGAAGGGCAGCUCCAGCAUGCCCAAGAGCGAGGGGAGGAACAGGUGCUGCAGCUCCAGAAGCAAGUGGACUCCAUGAGAUCUGAGCUGGAGGCCCAGCAGAGGGAGAUGGAGCACGCCAUCGCUUCCGGUGACAAAAGCAAAGCGGAUGAGUUAAAGGCGCUGCAGGAGCGACUGGAUGCAGAAACUGCUGCAAAGUUGGCAGAACUGAAGAAGAAGGCGGAACAAAAGAUUGCCACCAUCAAGAAGCAGUUGCUGUCCCAAAUGGAAGAAAAGGAGGAGGAGCACAAAAGAGAAGCAGAAAAUCAGGUGAUGGAGAUGACCCGGCAGUUGCAGGAGAAAGAACGUGAGGUUCAGCACCUUCGUGAGCAGCUUGGGUCUGUAGCUGGACAGGCUGUGGCAGCCUCCGCUGCAGAUCUCACGGUGCAGGCAGCAAAGGGGGAGAUUGACGGUGAGAAGAUGCCUCAGGUUGAGACACCGGAACUUCAGGGGAAGAAAAGGCAACGGGAGGAGCAAACAGUGGUCAGUUGUCUUCAACAGGAACCUGAGGAAAAUAGCCACAAGUGUUAUUCUCUCGUUGCUGGAGAGCAGGGUGUGGGGGAGAAUGAUAGUGCCAGGCAGCAGCAAGACUUAGAGAAUGGCAUCGGAGUGGUCCAGAAAAUCCUCCAGGACAAGGGCCAAAUGGGCCAGACUUUAGAAGGAGAGGUACAGGGGUCGGAUGCCCACCGUGCCGGAGUUGGAGCAGAGCUGCUGACGUCCAACCCCGGAUACUUCAAGGCUUCUCAGCAGCAGCCAGAGGAGAAAGAGAAGCCAGUGGAAGGGGUAGGGGAAAAUGUGGAAAGCAGCACAGAAGCCCAGUUUCUCCCAGGCACACAGAGCCAGCAGGAGGACCUGAGGUCGGAACUAGAGGAGGCUCAGCGGGACAGGCAGCGGCUGCGCAAGGAGGUGAAUCGCCUGCAGAGGGAUUUGCGGACUCUGAGGAAGGAGCAUCAGCAAGAGUUGGAAGUAACCAAGAAAGAAUGUGAAGAAGAAAUGGAAAAGAAAAUGAAAAUGGAACAGGAAGACAAUGAGCUGAAGCAUAACUCCAAGUUAAAACAACUAAUGAGGGAGUUUAAUACACAGCUGGCUCAGAAGGAACAAGAAUUAGAAGCAACGAUCAAAGAAACCAUCAGCAAGGCCCAAGAAGUGGAGGCAGAACUCUUAGAAAGCCAUCAAGCAGAAACAAAUCAUCUGCAUAAGAGAAUUGCUGAUAAAGAAGAAGAUUUAAAAAGAACAGCCAAAAGAUACGAAGAAAUUCUUGAUGCACGAGAAGAAGAAAUGACUGCUAAAGUUAUUGAACUACAAACACAGCUGGAACAGCUGCAGAAGGAAUACCAGCAUAGACUCCAUACAGAAGAGGAGAUUCAGAGCAGUGAGAAAGUAACAAUUAGGGAUCUCCAGACCCAGCUGGCCCAGAAAACUACUCUUGUCAAUGAUUCCAAGUUGAAAGAGCAGGAGUUCAGAGAACAGAUUCAUACAUUAGAAGAUCGCUUAAAGAAGUAUGAGAAGAACAUGUAUGUUACAACAGUGGGGAUGCCUUACCAAGGGGCGAAUUUGUGCCACGCUGAUGUCUCUCUAUUCGGAGAGCCAACUGAGUUUGAGUACUUGAGAAAAGUGCUCUUUGAAUACAUGAUGGGUCGUGAAACGAAGAUUUUUGGAUACACAUGUGUCCAGUAUGUGCCUUCCUAACAGGUUAGCUAGCACUUUAAUGUUGCAUGUUUAUAAGGUAUUUGUAAUAUUUAAGUAGCACAAGUAGAUUUUUGUGACCUUGAAUGAUCUCUGUCAAGUGCAUCAAAAACAAUUCUCUUUUUAAGCAGCUUUCUUAAGAUGGAUCUUUAAGGUCUCUUAAGAAUUUUGACUUUGUAUGACCAUGCUAGAAGAUGAACUCUGAAAUAAUUAGGAUGAAAUAUUUCUUUUGGCAUGUUUUAGACACCAACAUGUUUGAAUUUCUAUGCUCUCCUCAUCAGUAAGGUGAAAGAGUUGAAACAAGACUUUCUCUAAGCUGCUUCUAAAAAUCUUUUGAGAGCUGAAUUAUAAUUUUGAGUCUUGUUUUUCAGGCUCUCAUGGUAGUCUUGAGGGAUAUGAGAAUUGGGAAAACCAAGAUUUGUAGUUUAUAAUAUUAGUUCUUGGUUGUGGGACAUUCUUAGUGUAACUGGGCCUUAUGUGACUCUAUAGUAAGAAAAAAAAGGCAUUCAAAUGGCAAACUUUUUAAUUGGGAAAGAAUUAUGGCAUUGAUUUUUGUCACAUGUGAUCAUGACAGACAGUGUAUCAUUUCAAACACCCCCCCAUCCCAUACACACACAGAUACAUAGAGCAAACAAAUACCCAGGAAGAUGUAUUUACUCUGUAUGUGCAAAACCACACAGUAGCAGAGGACAAAUGCUUGUGAGGUUCUCUCUCCCAACUCCCCAUACAAUAUAAGAAUAGACUGUAGCAUCCCUGACAGCUGGACAUGAUUUUAUAUUUGAGCACUGAAUUUGUUAUUUUAUUUUCAUAAGUGGUGUCUUCUUUCCUCUCUGUUUCCCUCAAAAAUCCUCAACUUGAGAACCAAAUAGGGAAAGUUUCAUCCUUUGAGGAGAAUUUUCCAGGCGCUUAUGGGUGACAGUCUGACUUACGACGAUGGCAAAAGUCAUCACUACAGUCCUGAAGUUUCCUGCUGAUCAGACUCAGAAAAUCUUAGAACGAGAAGAUGCCCGGCCACUGUCAUGGCUACGAUUGUCAUCUUGAAGAAAUUGGGAGGAAGAGUGUUCUUUGAUUAUGCUGCUUAAAAAACUGCCCAUGUCUCUGUUUUUCUUGGAGAAAAGGCCUGACAGAUGGCAAGCUGCUUUUCAGGUCCCUAGAGAGAGGCGGUGAGGAGGCAGCGAGAUGACACUGGAUCUCGAAGACAGCUAGCUAAAGUCACCUGCUGAAGGAUGAACUGGCAACACUUGGUUCUUUCCCUUCAGCUGGGUGGCAGCACUUUGGGGGGGGAGAGGGUGAGUACUGGCUGAAAAUGAAUGAAUAUGAAUCCCAGAGGGUUCAUAUCCCUUUGUGGUUCUCUCAUCCCUCUUUCUCCCUCAUUUUAAGAUUUGAACUUGAUGGUUUGCCUCUUUUAUUUAUUUUAGGGUGAUUUUGGGGUUUUUUGGGGGGGAGUUUCUGUUUUAGUUUAAAUGACUUGUGCAAUACAUUUUGAGGUGGAAUUUGAUAGAUUUUUUUCCUGAUGAAUUAGCGGAAUUUGACAUGAUCCAGAUUUGAUUUGUUGCUUUUUUUGCUAAAGACUCGUUCUUUAAGCUUUUGCUUCUCAUGAAUCCAAACGGCAGUACCUCAUUUGUUUACUUCGCUUUUGUACUCAUAUUUUCCAGGAAAAAAAAUCCUGUAUAUUGUAAAUAGUUAAUACAUAACUGUAUCAUAUGCUGAUCUGUGACUGUUGGCAAUGUCAAUCUAGGAUGAACAGAGAAAAAAAAUAAAGUUUUAUUUACUGUAUAAAA
Dromiciops gliroides (monito del monte) is the source of this 8449-nucleotide RNA transcript. It is a transcript of the gene named golgin A4, with no coding region annotated. The record is from RefSeq and is a predicted model, not a curated record. The transcript has 27 exons. Lineage: Eukaryota; Metazoa; Chordata; Mammalia; Microbiotheria; Microbiotheriidae.